RNAcentral lists this unclassified non-coding RNA (2760 nucleotides) under Hevea brasiliensis (rubber tree). The record is from RNAcentral. Lineage: Eukaryota; Viridiplantae; Streptophyta; Magnoliopsida; Malpighiales; Euphorbiaceae.
UCCACAGACUCGGCAAUCAACAACCUUUCAGUUGAAGUUAAAAAUACCAGUGAGAUCUCCAUACCAAGUUCAUGCAGAAAGGCAUGUAGUUCAAAAGAGAAAAAGACAAAGGCGAUGAAGCCAAGCAUAAAGAAUUUAGGAUUUAAUAGAUUGGUGAUCUUUCCUCAAAUUUAUAAUGUGUUAUUUAACCUACUAUUUAGACUCUCCCUAUCUAGGAAUUCCUUUUAUUUUGUUAAUAAUUUUCUUAUUUGGGAGUGCUAAGCCUAAUAGGACAAGGAAGAGUCUUUAGCCUUAAUAAACACUUUUGCAAUUUAGUUAUUUCCUUUCAGAUAAUAACCUAUAACUUGAGACAUAUGAUAACAGAAAUAUAAGAAUGUAAUUUGAUUAAGAAUCAUGCAUGCCUUGAGUGAUUUCUCUUUUCUCUUUCCCUCUCUCCAUGAAUUUUUCCUAAUCUUCUGUCAAAUCACAAGUCCUUCAAAAUAGUUUUAAUUUUUCCCAUAGCUCCAAAAUGCCUAGUUUCAUCAUUGAUCCAUCACCUAUGUUUGAACCAAAGACCUGGUUUCAUGACUCCUUAAACAUUUUGAUAACUACAUAUCCUAAUACUUGGGAAAAAGGCCAAGACAGCCUAAAAUUAAAAGAGAGAUGGCAGAGAAUACUUUUAAAUAAUGUCGACGAAGUAAUCAACCCUACUAACAAAAGAUGCAAGAAAACCAAAAAUUUUAGUACUUUACAUGGAAUAUGUAAUGAAAUUGCAAGAAUCUAGCCAUCGUAAAAGAAUAAGUAAAAAAAAAAAUGUUCAUCAGGAAUUUGUACUAAUCUAAUCUUGCCAUUAGCAACCCAUGACCCAUCCAUAGCAACUCGUGAACACUAGUUCUGGUGCAUCUCCAAAAUAUAUGAAAGAACAAAAGGCAUAAAUUAACCAAUGAAUAUAUAUAUACAAUAAACUGAUAAUUAAAACAAAAAAAGUAAAUCUUCCAUCUUGGAAAAAUUAAGUUAAAUGACUAUACAAAGAGCAUUUUUUUUGUCAAGGAUGUUGAGCAAAGCUUUCAUCCUUUAAUUUGAAUAAAUAAUCUAUGGUUAACCAAUUAAAUUUCCUUAAAAGAAGGGAUAAGUUUGCAACAUGAAAUUGAAACAAAAGGAAGGAGAUGUUUGACUGACAAACAUUCACUCCUGAAAAUAGCUGGUGUCAUAACUUGCAAUCUCAAUGAAUUCCCUUGUAUUACAAGCAAAAUAGCUAGUACAUCUGUACAAACUGUUAAUAAAACAUCAGAAAAACUUCAAUAUUUUUCUAAUGAGACUGUAAGUACAUGUAUCUGCAUAUGAGUGUCUUAAAAUUUAUUUCAACCUUUAAAAGGGCAAACAUAUCACACCAAAAUCACAUGUGAAGAAGAAAGGGAAGAACGCUUCACAGACUUAUAUACACUACAAAUACUUCGUAACAGGACGUAAAAUUAGUAAUUUCAAAUUGACAACACAAAUAGCCAAUCCUUGAGGACAUAGAGUAAAUACCAUAAAGUCAAUAAAAUGAAGGCACAAAUAUAUUUCCAAAAAUUGCAUCCAGUACAGGGACCAUAAAAUAACAAGAAUAAGCAGGAACUGAAUAUUUUAGUUUUCAUUUAAAUAACACCACAAUAUUACUGCAUCUAGCUUGAUUUCAAUCAAUUUCAUUCCCAACAACAGAGAGAGCUGUCUUGUAUUAAGAACCUCAACCACAGUGCUUAGCCAGAAGUAAGCCCCGAUUCCGAAAAUCACAAAAGCACCCAUGGGUAAGGAAUUUAAGGAUUUCAGAUUGAGAAAGAUAAAAUACAGUGAAUUCAACAAGCCAAACAAAACAUGCUCUACCACUAUGUAGCACCUUGUUUAGACUCAUUGGCUUUGAAUAUUUUCAAAUGUCAAAACCCAUUGAUUGAAGCUGAAUUCAUUUUGCAAAGCCCUAAAAAAUUAUACUCCAUUAAUGAAACCUGAAUUGGUUUUGCAAAUCCUAAAAAAUUUAUAUCUCCACAAUGCAUUCCAUGAACAUUUUAAAAUAAAAGGUUGUUACUCAAAAUGCUAUACAAAUAUCAGAGUAAUUAGAUUCCUGCUGAUUCUCAAAAUCAAACUGUUAAGUUUGCAUGCUAAUAACGUUAAUAAUGCAUUACUUUAAAGUUUUAACUUUGCUAGGUACUGAUACCAAAAUCCAUACAAAAUACCUGUUACUUUUUUGAAACUUCUGAAGCACACCCUCAAGCUAAAUAAAGGACUAUAAUAUAAUGAACUGAUGUAACCAAGGAACAAAUGACACAGUCAACUUUUCUAGAAAAAAGUUCAUUUCGAUGAAAAUGAAAACCAUCACCGCUUAGCACUGAAGAAAAUAUGAACUCCAAGAGUUUCAGUAUAUCUACAUCAUUCUCCAGUAGAAGGACACUAAUUUGAUCAAGGAACACAAAAACAUUUUGAACAUCAAAAAAUGUAAAAAUAAAAAUAAAACCAAAAACCAAAACUAGGAAAUGUAAAAGACUGCAACAAAAGCAUAUUGCAUACAAUUCAAGUGUUUGGCCAAUAUAAGGUCUCUCACUCUCACCUUUUAUAAAGAACUGAUGUAACUAAGGAACAAAUGACACAGUCAACCUUUCUAGAAAAAAAGUUCAUUUCCAUGAAAACCAAAACCAUCACCGCUUAGCACUGGAGAAAAUAUGAAGUCCAUGGUUUAGAAUAUUGAAAUACAAUCAAUGCACCAUGUGCAGACUGUUGCAACUUACUUGUCCACAACUACUAAACAAG